Molecule: non-coding RNA, 633 nt
Organism: Danio rerio (zebrafish)
Lineage: Eukaryota; Metazoa; Chordata; Actinopteri; Cypriniformes; Danionidae
Source: Ensembl
UUUUAGCAUGGUCGUCUAAAAAGCCUUAACAGAAGAUAUGAUUUGAACCAGUGAACCGAUCUCAUCCGUACUUACCCCAGGGCCGUUUAUAUCAAAGUUGAUAUUAAGCCUCACCAUAUUGGUGUUUUGUAACAUCUCAUUUUUAUGAGGUGGGUCGUUAGCCCAACGCUCAACCCUCUAGGACAUGCACUCAUACACUACGGGCGAUUUAGCUUACCCAAUUCACCUAUUGUGCAUAUGUUUGGACUUGUGGGGAAAACAUGCAAACUCCACACAGAAAUGCCAACUAACCGAGCCGGGACUCAAACCAGUGGCCUUCUUGCUGUGAGGCGACAGUGCUAACCACUGCGCCACCGUUACCUUCCACAUCCAUCAUAGACCAUGCUUUUCACAGACAUCAGACAGUGAUUCUCAGGAUUCAUUCAUUUUCUUUCGGCUUAGUCUCUUAAUUAUCAAGGGUCACCACAGCGGAAUGAACCGCCAACUGUUCUAGCAUAUGUUUUAUGCAGCGAAUGCCCUUCCAGCUUCAAACCAGUAUUGGGAAACACCCAUUCACACGCGCUAGUACACUACGGUCAAUUUAGAUUAUUCAAUUCCCCUAUAGCGCAUGUGUUUAGACUGUGGGGGAAACCG